RNAcentral lists this long non-coding RNA (559 nucleotides) under Erythranthe guttata (spotted monkey flower). RNAcentral's name for it is "long non-coding RNA (EGUT_LNC001091)". Lineage: Eukaryota; Viridiplantae; Streptophyta; Magnoliopsida; Lamiales; Phrymaceae. The record is from RNAcentral.
CUGCCCCUCCAACAGCACCAGCAGCUCCAAGUGCACAAAGAACUGGCCAUACUGCAUCUUCUGCCCCUCCAACAGCUCCAAGUGCACAAACAACUGGCCAUACUGCAUCCCCUUCAUUGGUUGUGAAGUCAAGAACUCCAAGAGCUCCUCAAUUUAUGAGAUCUGGAUGUAGUGCACCUCCACCAGUUUCCUCUCAAGAGUCAAUGGUUGUGAAUACAAAUGCAGCUCAACCAUCAAGGGUAAAAUGUAGUUUUCUUGAUUUGUAGAUAGUGAGUUUACUUGAACUUAACUUACUUUCUAUUCAUUCUAGGUUUACCAGGGGAGAAGAAAUGCAGCUCUGCUUGGACAUGAAAAGGAGGCCUCAUCAACUGUAGAAGCUGGUGCUUGUUCAACCAAUCCCAAAAGAAAAAGGAAGGUCCAGAUUUCUGAAGUGCAAAACAUCAAAGAUAGGUCCAAGAAGAAGAAGAUGUGGAAGAUUUAGAAAGGAAGUGAUGAUGAUAAUCCAGUUUUUGUUAUUGCUUAUUAUGAAGCCUUUUUGAAAAAAACAAUGUUUUUGUAA